GCCCACGCCAGCAUAGCUGUUGCCCACGCCAGCACCGCUCUCGACCUACAAGGCAGGGGGAAGCGGAGGUUGAAUAUGUUUAUACGUUGGCUGCCUGUCAGGUUUACAUUUUGUUAAAUCCUGUAACGCUUACCCGUAGCAGACACUUGGGGGCAGGACUAUAAAGCCCACGAGGCCUCUGGGUUUUUGGCCAUGGAUAGCCGACCUCUGUUCAGCCUCCUUCCUCUUCUCUCCCCGUCCUCCACCUCCCCAGCCGGCCAGCACUCCUCCAGAUGCUCCGCUCUCACUGCAGGGGCCUGCGGACUGGCGGCCGCCGCCUCCACCAGGUAUGACUGCUGCAGGAGGCUGCCUCCUUUUUUGGAUCAAGAGCCCGUGAGGCGAUUAUGCAGAGGAUCCCAGGAUAAAGUAAAAGACACGGUUUUAUGAAUGAGGGCCCUGGUUCCUCGUUUUUCCUUGGUGUUUGUUGGAUGAUUGGGAUUAGCAUCAUAACUGACACCCUCCCCCAUAAUAAAUUUGACACAACAAAGCAAGCAAUAUUUAAAUUUUUUUUUAAUAUAUCUCACAAUUUAUUCCUUUAUUUACAAAAGACAGUGGCCGUGUGACAUAAAACUAUGUUUUGUAAAAUGAACAUGAAAAAACAAAUGUGUACCAGAAGCAUAACUGUACGUAACACAUACAUAGAUAAAUAACAUCGGGGGAGUAUUGAUGAGGUUGUCUUCUUGCACAUCGUCUCUCAAUAAAAAGGUCACAAUGUUUGCACGUCUCCAUGAUUGGCGGCCUUUUCUAUGUGUACCCCGAGUUUGGUCUGACAGGUUAAUCAGUAUUGCCUCCUCGCUGGCUGGAGUGACAUCAGUGGUUAUCUGUUGGUAGAUCUGGAAUGUCUAUAACUAUCUGAGCUCUGUUAUUGUGGAAAGCUAGCGUCUCAGGUUCAAGGAUCAGAGACCGUUCAGCAGGCGUUCUGUAAGUAAACCAUGGGCAACGACAAUGCACUAAUGCGGAUAUAUUCUGAUAUAUAAUUUGUAUGACGCACAAAGUCGGCAAACGGUUUGGCACAAAUGUAAAGGCUGAA
Molecule: long non-coding RNA, 1069 nt
Organism: Lampris incognitus (smalleye Pacific opah)
Lineage: Eukaryota; Metazoa; Chordata; Actinopteri; Lampriformes; Lampridae
Exons: 4
Source: RefSeq, a predicted model, not a curated record